UACAGAGGUCUCAAGCGUUGUUCGGAUUCAUUGGGCGUAAAGGGUGCGUAGGCGGCGCGGUAAGUCGGGUGUGAAAUCUUGGAGCUUAACUCCGAAACUGCAUUCGAUACUGCCGUGCUUGAGGACUGGAGAGGAGACUGGAAUUUACGGUGUAGCGGUGAAAUGCGUAGAUAUCGGGAGGAACACCAGUGGCGAAGGCGGUUGCCUGGAGCUUUGCUGACGCUGAUGCGCGAAAGCGUGGGGAGCGAUCCGG
RNAcentral lists this ribosomal RNA (253 nucleotides) under uncultured bacterium. RNAcentral's name for it is "partial 16S ribosomal RNA". It matches the Rfam family "Bacterial small subunit ribosomal RNA", at positions 524 to 776 of the family's 1533-position model. The record is from RNAcentral.